Mauremys reevesii (Reeves's turtle) is the source of this 205-nucleotide long non-coding RNA. RefSeq lists it as uncharacterized. The transcript has 3 exons. The record is from RefSeq and is a predicted model, not a curated record. Lineage: Eukaryota; Metazoa; Chordata; Testudines; Geoemydidae.
UGCUGGGCCGUGCGCCGCUUCGGGGAUCACAGGGCCGGAGAUGGACGCCCCGCCCGGCGCUGGGAGAGGUCUGGUCCCCGUCACCUUCCUCCUGGGCUGCUCCUUGCUCCUGUGCUCAGGGGCGCGGCUCCCCCCAUCGUAUCCCCCCAACAGGCUGUGGACGCGGGAUGCCCCACAGGACCCCGCCGACCCCGCCGGACGCCCC